UCUGUUGGGUGAGCCCCCUGCAGAGACCUUUCCAGCUGCAGACACCAGCCUCACCCAAUGGCCACUCUUUCCUGGCAGCCCUCACCCCUGGCUGACCCAAGAGUGCAGAAAGGUUUGGCUGUCCUGGCUCCACUAGGAACAGAUCUUGAGGGCGGUUCCAGCUCUGGGACACAUGAGGAAGUGGAGCAUGGCAGCUUAACCUCUCCCUCCAUCCAGUCCUGCCUUCUCCCUGCCCUUCCUUCCACAGGCACUGAUGCCCACGCCCACCCUCAGAACUGUCCUCCAAGUCUGCCUCCUGCACCCUAACCGGAGGCACAUCUUGAGGCAACGUCACCUUGAUGAAGUGUCCUCAUCACCCUGGCAUCAGCCAGGCGACAGUGUCCCCGCCCCUUGCUUCUGGAAUGACAGCAAACUGUCGCCUCCCUCGCGGGGCAGGGUCUGCCUGUCUUCAGUCCCUGGGCUGCCUGGAGAAUAAUCACUCACUCUCCCUCUCUGCACCUUUUGCUCUGCCAGGCUUGGACAUUUAUUCAAGCAGGGUUUUAUUUUUUCACUUCUGUUUGCCUAUGUUAAC
This 571-nucleotide long non-coding RNA is filed under the name Homo sapiens (human). Its description in RNAcentral is "HSALNT0169966". Lineage: Eukaryota; Metazoa; Chordata; Mammalia; Primates; Hominidae. The record is from RNAcentral.